AAAUUGAAGAGUUUGAUCAUGGCUCAGAUUGAACGCUGGCGGCAGGCCUAACACAUGCAAGUCGAACGGUAACAGGAAGCAGCUUGCUGCUUUGCUGACGAGUGGCGGACGGGUGAGUAAUGUCUGGGAAACUGCCUGAUGGAGGGGGAUAACUACUGGAAACGGUGGCUAAUACCGCAUAACGUCGCAAGACCAAAGAGGGGGACCUUCGGGCCUCUUGCCAUCAGAUGUGCCCAGAUGGGAUUAGCUUGUUGGUGAGGUAACGGCUCACCAAGGCGACGAUCCCUAGCUGGUCUGAGAGGAUGACCAGCCACACUGGAACUGAGACACGGUCCAGACUCCUACGGGAGGCAGCAGUGGGGAAUAUUGCACAAUGGGCGCAAGCCUGAUGCAGCCAUGCCGCGUGUAUGAAGAAGGCCUUCGGGUUGUAAAGUACUUU
RNAcentral lists this ribosomal RNA (439 nucleotides) under Salmonella enterica. Its description in RNAcentral is "bacterial SSU rRNA". It matches the Rfam family "Bacterial small subunit ribosomal RNA", at positions 1 to 436 of the family's 1533-position model. The record is from RNAcentral. Lineage: Bacteria; Pseudomonadati; Pseudomonadota; Gammaproteobacteria; Enterobacterales; Enterobacteriaceae.